GUUCACUUCUUAUCUCAUCCUGUCAGAACCUGGCAACCAGACGCUGAAGCUCCUCCACCACCACACUGUGUACUCUGUAGUUUAAACAUUUACACACACACACAUACACACACACACACACACACACACACACACACACACACACACACACACACACACACACACACACACACACACGCUCCUGUACACCUGACACAGACCUUCCCACACACUCCUCAUACAUCUGUAAAGCUUUAGGUCUGUAGUUGAUGAAGUUAAGGUGAGAGCAGAAUGGGACCUCGCACAGCAGACGGGCCAUCCAAACAUGAGAAGGUCGCCUCUCGGAAUUGCCAUGGUAACAGGAGUGACGGGUAUUACAAUGAUUCUCCUGUGCUCAAUAACCCAAAGUCAGUGUUGAAGAGGCAGGUGAGUCCAGAAGAGCUACAGACACCUGGAGGGAAAUAUCUGAAGAGGAUAUUUACUAUCGUCGGGGAUGCUGUGGGCUGGGGGUUUGUCGUGAGAGGCAGCAGUCCGUGUCACAUUCAGGCUGUAGAUCCGAGCGGACCAGCCGCUGCCGUCGGAAUGAAGGUAUGUCAGUUUGUAGUGUGUGUGAACGGAGUGAAUGUUUUGGAGAUGGACUAUCGGACCGUCAGUCAUCUCAUUCUCACCGGACCUCGUACCGUUGUCAUGGAGGUGAUGGAGCCACUGGACUGCUGAGGCUGAAAUGACUAAAGAAGCUCUUUUAAAAAUUCAAAGAAGUGCUCAGAAAGAAUUGUGAAAAAAGUCAAAUUCUGUGAGUUGCAUAACAUAUGAGGUAAUGACUUGUACCCUGGUGCAUUAGGCUGCUCAAAAAGAAACAAAUAGCGUAAAUUGUGAUAGUGCUCAUCAUAUUGUACAGUAAGGAAAAACCCUCAGGGGUUUGCUGGAGGUAAAACAAUUCAGGUCCAGAGUGAAAUAUUUCACCACCAAUGUUGUAAAUUAGACAUUGAAUAAUAUUUCGUUUAUGAAAUAUUUUAAAUAGUAAAUUAAGUUAGACUGUAAGAACCAAAGAAUGGUUGUAAGUUAUUGGAUUUUAAACAUUAGCUGAUCUUUUGUAAGUGGACCUUAAAUACAAUGAGGGGAUAAUAAAUAAAUAAAUAAAUAGUCUUAAUAGUAGUAAUAUUUUUGUUUAAUAUACUUCCAACUCAUAUAUUUCCACAUGUAAUGUCUUUUGUCUUUUUGAUUAUAAAUCUGAACAAAAAUAUGUAUUCCUACCCACACCCCAAACCCCCACACACCACCAGCCCACAAAACUUACAAGGAAAUCUAAUUCAUGGUACAAAAAAAAGUGACAUUAUUAUUAAAGAUCAAUGCUUUUAAGGAAAUUUUACAUUUCGUGCAACAAGUAACAACUGAAACUGAAAUUGAAUGAGCUUCCAAACGUUCUCAGAAAUAAAAAUUGUAAACAUCACUUAAAUGGAAAUUGGUGCAGAGCUUCAGCAAAGAACAUUAACAUACUGGUCAGAAAAUCGAAAAGUUCAGGGAACAACAAGAUUUUACAACAAUCCCUAAAACUGAUGAUAACGAAGAUAAGAGAGACGCCAGCAAUCACUGGAAAAGAGCUGCAGGACGACCUGAAAGCAGCAGGAACAACAAGAACAACAAUAACAUGCCUUCAUAUUACACUUAACUCCUCUGAUAAAAAUAGAAGCACAGACAUGUGCAAAUAAUCAUAUAUAAGAGGAGACUUGAAUCUCAUUGGCUUAUUAUGUGAAGAUUGAAAAACAGCAACCCCAUAUACUAUAUACAGCACAUAAUAACUUGCAUAAGAAAGUCGACGGUGCUCACAUAUGGUGUAUAAAUCACUUGAAGUGUUAUAGUACUACAAUGCUGUGAAAAAAGGGAUUCAUUAUUGAUUCUUACUAUAGACAUCUUGAAUCCACUUUACCUACAGUAGCUAUUUUGUUAAAGCUAUCUUUAUUUAUUUAUUUUAAUACAUACGUUUUGGUCAUAUUUAUAUUUAUAAAAAAUCAAAAGACAUUAUGUAUGUACGUAUAAACUGGAAGUAUAUGUGUUAGAAAUAGUAAUUGGCUAUAAGACUUAAUUGUUUCCCCUCAGUAAAUUAGUAGAUUUGUUAUUCAGUAAAAGAUUUCAGAACUUCAUUAGCUGAUUUCCGUUACUGAUCUUUUGAUAUACUGAUUUGUAGAUGUCUAUUUUCUCAUCAGUUCUUUGUGAGCAAGUCUAUGUGUAAAUUGAAAUGAAAUCAACCUAGACGUAAACAUAUACAGACUUUGAUUUAGCUAUCAGUUUAGUUACAAGAGCUUUAAUGUUACACUUUCUAAGUUAUACUUUAAAAAGAAUUGUGAGUAAACUCGACUUAAAGAUGAUCUUUGUUUCAAUUCACAAUUAGUCAAGAAAAGGGAUUAGCGUAAGUUACAUUUUUGACAAUCUGAGUAUAAGACUGAGGUCAAUAUUCAAAACUUGAUAAUUAAUUGGAGUUGAUUAUGAUAUAAUGGUUUUUAAAUCAUCAGGUAAUAUAAUUGUAUUUUUUAUUUUUGAUUAACAGCAAAUAUUUGGCUCAUUAUACUGGGAAAUUUGUAAAUGUGACAUUCGCAAAUGUUUAAAAUAAUAGAAAUAUUUAUACAAUGUAAUUAGCAUACGCUGAACAUAAUUAAAAUGAUUUCUUUCGAAGAAUUUAAUUCCAAACAUUUAUUGUCAGUUAAUUCAUUAAAAAUGCACACUCCAUGGAAGUAUUAUGUACUUAUAAAAUACAUUAUUGCAUAAUUUUUCUAAUUAUUUGCUCUAGUUUUUCUGUUUUUACUGACAGUGAUGAGUUUUUACUUUGAUAGAUGUUUAAUAAUGAUGUUGUAAGUUUACAUACUAAACCUUCUACCACUCCUUCACUCUGUCUACAAGUCUAAAUAUGAUUUAUUAUUGUACAUGUACACACUGUUAUUCAUUUAAAUAUGUGAUGUGUUUUAUGUUUGUUAUGAUAGAGCACUUUCCUGUGAUUGUGUGUUUCUCGUGGCUUAACUUAUAUUCAACUUUCUAACAUGGCUACUGCAUAUCUGAUUAAUCUUUCUUUAACUUUCUCUUGUGGUUAUUUUUCUUUGUCCAUGUGUGCACUUAAAAUACAUUUCAACUGUAAACA
Long non-coding RNA from Tachysurus fulvidraco (yellow catfish), 3109 nucleotides. RefSeq lists it as uncharacterized. The record is from RefSeq and is a predicted model, not a curated record. The transcript is spliced from 5 exons. Lineage: Eukaryota; Metazoa; Chordata; Actinopteri; Siluriformes; Bagridae.